GGGCGGUUAGUCUCAGUUGGUAGAGCACUGCCUUCACACGGCAGGGGUCGCUGGUUCGAGUCCAGUACCGCCCACCA
This 77-nucleotide transfer RNA is filed under the name Chromobacterium violaceum. RNAcentral's name for it is "tRNA-Val". It matches the Rfam family "tRNA". Rfam says of the family: Transfer RNA (tRNA) molecules are approximately 80 nucleotides in length. Their secondary structure includes four short double-helical elements and three loops (D, anti-codon, and T loops). Lineage: Bacteria; Pseudomonadati; Pseudomonadota; Betaproteobacteria; Neisseriales; Chromobacteriaceae. RNAcentral also lists the same sequence under 36 other names. The record is from RNAcentral.